UUCCUCAGGGGAAGGAUUAUCAAGUGACACCGGGCGGAGGGCCCACGGGGGACUGGGCGGGAGGAAAGUUAGCAGGUAAAAAGGAUGAAUCAUGGAGAAGGAAGUGACCUUUAGGAGAAGGAAAUACGAGAAUACCAAAAAAGGUGUAAGGUUAAGAAGAGAAAAUGGACCCAGAAGAGGGGACCAAAAAAGAGGAGGCGUGUUCGGGUACUGGAGGAAGAAGAAAGGAAAGCACCUACAUAAUAGCUGCCCAAUCUCUUCCCUGCUCUGAGCCCAGGGGUUUAGUCUGCAGAGCUCUGAGAGUGUAAAAUUUCCCAUGUGCCUUCAAACCAGGUCAUUCUGGAAUCUG
Molecule: long non-coding RNA, 349 nt
Filed under: Homo sapiens (human)
Lineage: Eukaryota; Metazoa; Chordata; Mammalia; Primates; Hominidae
Description: HSALNT0329900
Source: RNAcentral